This 391-nucleotide ribosomal RNA is filed under the name uncultured bacterium. RNAcentral's name for it is "partial 16S ribosomal RNA". It matches the Rfam family "Bacterial small subunit ribosomal RNA", at positions 524 to 918 of the family's 1533-position model. The record is from RNAcentral.
UACGGAGGAUCCGAGCGUUAUCCGGAUUUAUUGGGUUUAAAGGGAGCGUAGGUGGACAGUUAAGUCAGUUGUGAAAGUUUGCGGCUCAACCGUAAAAUUGCAGUUGAUACUGGCUGUCUUGAGUACAGUAGAGGUGGGCGGAAUUCGUGGUGUAGCGGUGAAAUGCUUAGAUAUCACGAAGAACUCCGAUUGCGAAGGCAGCUCACUGGACUGCAACUGACACUGAUGCUCGAAAGUGUGGGUAUCAAACAGGAUUAGAUACCCUGGUAGUCCACACAGUAAACGAUGAAUACUCGCUGUUUGCGAUAUACAGUAAGCGGCCAAGCGAAAGCAUUAAGUAUUCCACCGGGGGAGUACGCGGCAACGGUGAAACUCAAAGGAAUUGACGGGG